RNAcentral lists this ribosomal RNA (254 nucleotides) under uncultured bacterium. RNAcentral describes it as "partial 16S ribosomal RNA". It matches the Rfam family "Bacterial small subunit ribosomal RNA", at positions 524 to 776 of the family's 1533-position model. The record is from RNAcentral.
UACGAAGGGGGCUAGCGUUGUUCGGAAUCACUGGGCGUAAAGCGCACGUAGGCGGGUUCUUAAGUCAGGGGUGAAAUCCCGAGGCUCAACCUCGGAACUGCCUUUGAUACUGGGAAUCUUGAGUUCGGGAGAGGUGAGUGGAAUUGCGAGUGUAGAGGUGAAAUUCGUAGAUAUUCGCAAGAACACCAGUGGCGAAAGCGGCUCCCUGGUCCAGCACCGACGUUCAGGCACGAAAGCGUGGGGGAGCAAACAGG